CCUACGGGGGGCAGCAGUAGGGAAUAUUGCUCAAUGGGGGAAACCCUGAAGCAGCAACGCCGCGUGGAGGAUGAAGGUUUUAGGAUUGUAAACUCCUUUUGUGAGAGAAGAUAAGGACGGUAUCUCUCGAGUAAGCAACGGUUAACUCCGUGCCAGCAGCCGCGGUAAUACGGAGGGUGCAAGCGUUACUCGGAAUCACUGGGCGUAAAGAGUGCUGUGGCGGGCUUGUAAGUCAGAUGUGAAAUCCUGUAGCUUAACUACAGAACUGCAUUUGAAACUAUGAGUCUACAGUGUGGGAGAGGUAGGUGGAAUUCUUGGUGUAGGGGUAAAAUGCGUAGAUAUCAAGAAGAAUACUCAUUGCGAAGGCGACCUACUGGAACAUUACUGACGCUCAUGCACGAAAGCGUGGGGAGCAAACAGGAUUAGAUACCCCGGUAGUC
This 440-nucleotide ribosomal RNA is filed under the name uncultured bacterium. RNAcentral's name for it is "partial 16S ribosomal RNA". It matches the Rfam family "Bacterial small subunit ribosomal RNA", at positions 338 to 795 of the family's 1533-position model. The record is from RNAcentral.